Molecule: ribosomal RNA, 497 nt
Filed under: uncultured bacterium
Lineage: Bacteria
Description: partial 16S ribosomal RNA
Rfam family: Bacterial small subunit ribosomal RNA
Source: RNAcentral
GAUGAACGCUGGCGGCGUGCCUAAUACAUGCAAGUCGAGCGAACGGACGAGAAGCUUGCUUCUCUGAUGUUAGCGGCGGACGGGUGAGUAACACGUGGAUAACCUACCUAUAAGACUGGGAUAACUUCGGGAAACCGGAGCUAAUACCGGAUAAUAUUUUGAACCGCAUGGUUCAAAAGUGAAAGACGGUCUUGCUGUCACUUAUAGAUGGAUCCGCGCUGCAUUAGCUAGUUGGUAAGGUAACGGCUUACCAAGGCAACGAUGCAUAGCCGACCUGAGAGAGUGAUCGGCCACACUGGAACUGAGACACGCUCCAGACUCCUACGGGAGGCAGCAGUAGGGAAUCUUCCGCAAUGGGCGAAAGCCUGACGGAGCAACGCCGCGUGAGUGAUGAAGGUCUUCGGAUCGUAAAACUCUGUUAUUAGGGAAGAACAUAUGUGUAAGUAACUGUGCACAUCUUGACGGUACCUAAUCAGAAAGCCACGGCUAACUACGUG